Molecule: long non-coding RNA, 1099 nt
Filed under: Homo sapiens (human)
Lineage: Eukaryota; Metazoa; Chordata; Mammalia; Primates; Hominidae
Description: HSALNT0102028
Source: RNAcentral
UUCUGUUCCAGAUUUCUGGCAUGCCUCUCACAACAAGCAUAUAUACCUGUAGUUAUGCAGGAAUAUUGCUGGGUGAGGAAAGAGAAAUAUUCAAAUGUCAGAGAAAAAACAUCUGGAACAUUUUCAAGGCCUAGAAAGUUUCAUGUGGAAAGAGCGUGAAGCCAUGCCAAGGUGCUGGAAGAGCUACCAGCAGGAAGCCUUCUGCUGUCAGCCUCACAUGGAGAAUAAACUGGCUGAAGAGAGCUGCAUUGUCCAAGGUCAUGCCUCCUUCAUGUGUUGGCCCACUUCAAUGACUGAUGAAUGAGAGCAGGAAAAAGGCACAGCUCUCUCCACUCCCAAGGGUCAUCCCAGCUUCAAAACUCCCCAUAGUAACUGGCUGAAGACUCUAUUGAGACUGCAUUGCAGAUAGAGUUUUCCCUGUGCUUAAUCUUAUUUCCUUCAAUUGCUGAGAAAGAGAUGUUAACAUCUCCCAACUAUGAUUGUGAGUUGAGCAAAAAAAGACAAACAAAAUAGAGUAACUACUCUAUUAUUUCAUUUAUAUGGAAGUCAAGAACAGGUAAAAACUAACCUAUGAUGAUGGAAGUCAGAAUAGUGUGUGUGUGUGUGUGUGUGUGUGUGUGUGUGUGUGUGUGUGUAAGGAAAGUGGUUAUUGAUUGGGAAGGGGCACAGAAGAAUCUUCUGGUUGAUGGAAUGGUCUGCAACUUGAUCUGGUAGUGGUUACAUGGUGAACAUCUAUGUAAAAACACCAAGCUACAUAUUUAAAUUUGUGCAACUGAAUAUAUCUAAGUUACAUCUACAUUUAACAAAUCGUGCUUUAAAAGGUAAGCCAAGCUCAUCUGAAUCCCUGUUGAGUCCUUUGCCAGAUGCAUCACCUUUUGGAAGCCAUUUAUCUCUAGGCUUCAGUUUUCUCAAUUCCAAAAUGAGGGAUUGGACUGGAUAUUUGAGUUACAUGCCAUGCGUCUAUCAAAACAGCUCUUUAAAGUAUUUUUGCAAAUUGAAGAAAAAAAACAAAGGGCAGCUCGCAAAAGAAAAACAAAUGGUUUCAGAGACAUGUUAAAAAAAACAAAAAGAGAGCAUUUUACAUCUAUAUUUUAUAUAU